This 108-nucleotide non-coding RNA is filed under the name Platyophrya macrostoma. The record is from RNAcentral. Lineage: Eukaryota; Ciliophora; Colpodea; Cyrtolophosidida; Platyophryidae.
UAAAAACAUAAAAAAAGAGGGAAUCGAACACCACACUCACACGCACUUGGCAUCGCAUCUGCUGUCUACCAUGUGUGGUCUUCUCUUUUUUUUUUUUUUUUUUUUUUU